Molecule: ribosomal RNA, 817 nt
Filed under: marine metagenome
Description: bacterial SSU rRNA
Rfam family: Bacterial small subunit ribosomal RNA
Source: RNAcentral
GCCGCGGUAAUACGAAGGGACCUAGCGUAGUUCGGAAUUACUGGGCGUAAAGCGCGCGUAGGCGGUUAAGUAAGUUAAUUGUGAAAGCCCAAAGCUCAACUUUGGAAUUGCAAUUAAAACUACUUAGCUAGAGUUUAUCAGAGGAAAGCGGAAUACAUAGUGUAGAGGUGAAAUUCGUAGAUAUUAUGUAGAACACCAGUUGCGAAGGCGGCUUUCUGGAUCAUUACUGACGCUGAGGUGCGAAAGUAUGGGUAGCGAAGAGGAUUAGAUACCCUCGUAGUCCAUACUGUAAACGAUGAUUGUUAGAUGUUGGAAAUUUAUUUUCAGUAUCACAGCUAACGCGUUAAACAAUCCGCCUGGGGAGUACGACCGCAAGGUUAAAACUCAAAUGAAUUGACGGGGACCCGCACAAGCGGUGGAGCAUGUGGUUUAAUUCGAAGCUACGCGCAGAACCUUACCAACACUUGACAUGUCUGUCGCGGAAUCCAGAGAUGGAUUCUUUCGGUUCGGCCGGACAGAACACAGGUGCUGCAUGGCUGUCGUCAGCUCGUGUCGUGAGAUGUUGGGUUAAGUCCCGCAACGAGCGCAACCCCUACUUCUAGUUGCCAUCAGGUUAAGCUGGGCACUCUAGUAGGACUGCCUGUGAUAAGCAGGAGGAAGGUUGGGAUGACGUCAAGUCCUCAUGGCCCUUACGUGUUGGGCUACACACGUGCUACAAUGGCAGUGACAAUGAGAUGCUAAACGGCAACGUUAAGCUAAACUCAAAAACCUGCCUCAGUUCGGAUUGCACUCUGCAACUCGAGUGCAUGAAGCUGGA